ACAUCUCAAAAAUGUGGAUAUUUUUCCAACAUAAAAACAAACAAACAAAUAAAUAAAUAAUAAUUUUAUAUAUAUAUAUAUAUAUAUAUAUAUAUAUAUAUGUAUAUAUAAUUACAAAAAUCCUACAAGGAAAGGAACACAUACUUUUUUUUUUUUUUGUCACUUAUGUUUUGUUUUGUUUUGUUUCUCAGGAAUUUUAUAUCAAAGACUGUGGAAUCCAGCAGCCCACAUAUCAGUGAAUGCUGAAACAGGAUGACCUAAGUCUGACAAACAUCAACACUCAGGUGAUAAUUACUGAAAAUACUUCGGCCAGUUCUACGCUUUCUGGUGAUAGUGACCAGUUGUUUGAAUAUCCAGGAGUAUCCUACUGAUGUGAAGACCCAAAGGCAGUAGUGAGUGCACUAGGACAGGCUGACAGAACUUGGUCUGUUUAGCCUAGAAGAGAGAAGACUGAGGGGAGACUUCAUCAAUGUGUAUAAAUAUCU
This 485-nucleotide long non-coding RNA is filed under the name Anas platyrhynchos platyrhynchos (common mallard). Its description in RNAcentral is "lncRNA (ENSAPLG00000025434.1)". The record is from RNAcentral. Lineage: Eukaryota; Metazoa; Chordata; Aves; Anseriformes; Anatidae.